Molecule: ribosomal RNA, 494 nt
Filed under: uncultured bacterium
Lineage: Bacteria
Description: partial 16S ribosomal RNA
Rfam family: Bacterial small subunit ribosomal RNA
Source: RNAcentral
GACGAACGCUGGCGGCGUGCUUAACACAUGCAAGUCGAACGGUGAAGCGCCUUCCUUUUUGGUGGGUGUGGAUGAGUGGCGAACGGGUGAGUAACACGUGAGUAACCUGCCCCCUUCUUCUGGAUAACCGCAUGAAAGUGUGGCUAAUACGGGAUAUUCUGGGUCUGUCGCAUGAUGGGUCUGGGAAAGAUAUUGUUUCGGUGGGGGAUGGGCUCGCGGCCUAUCAGCUUGUUGGUGGGGUGAUGGCCUACCAAGGCGGUGACGGGUAGCCGGCCUGAGAGGGUGGACGGGCACACUGGGACUGAGACACGGGCCAGACUCCUAAGGGAGGCAGCAGUGGGGAAUAGUGAACAAUGGGCGCAAGCCUGAUGCAGCGACGCCGCGUGAGGGAUGGAGGCCUUCGGGUUGUGAACCUCUUUCGCCAGUGAAGCAGGCCUGCCUCGUUUGUGGGUGGGUUGACGGUAGCUGGAGAAGAAGCGCCGGCUAACUACGUG